This 520-nucleotide ribosomal RNA is filed under the name uncultured Acaulospora. Its description in RNAcentral is "SSU rRNA". It matches the Rfam family "Eukaryotic small subunit ribosomal RNA", at positions 569 to 1088 of the family's 1831-position model. The record is from RNAcentral. Lineage: Eukaryota; Fungi; Glomeromycota; Glomeromycetes; Diversisporales; Acaulosporaceae.
AGCAGCCGCGGUAAUUCCAGCUCCAAUAGCGUAUAUUAAAGUUGUUGCAGUUAAAAAGCUCGUAGUUGAAUUUCGGAGUUUAUCCGUCGGUCGGGCUUUUGGGUCUGUACUGGCGUGAUGGAUUCCUACCUUCUGAAUAACCGGCAUGCCAUUAAUUUGGUGCGCCGGGGAAGCAGGACUGUUACCUUGAAAAAAUUAGAGUGCUUAAAGCAGGCUAUUGCCUGAAUACAUUAGCAUGGAAUAAUGAAAUAGGACGGCAUGGUUCUAUUUUGUUGGUUUCUAGGAUCACCGUAAUGAUUAAUAGGGAUAGUUGGGGGCAUUAGUAUUCAAUUGUCAGAGGUGAAAUUCUUGGAUUUAUUGAAGACUAACUUCUGCGAAAGCAUUUGCCAAGGAUGUUUUCAUUAAUCAAGAACGAAAGUUAGGGGAUCGAAGACGAUCAGAUACCGUCGUAGUCUUAACCAUAAACUAUGCCGACUAGGGAUCGGACGAUGUUAAUUUUUUAAUGACUCAUUCGGCGCCU